UUCUGCACUCACAAACACCAUUACUACAU
RNAcentral lists this small RNA (29 nucleotides) under Arabidopsis thaliana (thale cress). Its description in RNAcentral is "ATSL001940". Lineage: Eukaryota; Viridiplantae; Streptophyta; Magnoliopsida; Brassicales; Brassicaceae. The record is from RNAcentral.